Molecule: long non-coding RNA, 1298 nt
Organism: Rosa rugosa (rugosa rose)
Lineage: Eukaryota; Viridiplantae; Streptophyta; Magnoliopsida; Rosales; Rosaceae
Exons: 3
Source: RefSeq, a predicted model, not a curated record
UGAAUAUUUGAAAAUCGGGAUUUUUUUUCUAUAAAUAUGGAGAAUUUCUGGAAUUUUUCUUAAAUCCCAAAAUUUCCUAUUCUUUCUAUUUUCUCCCCCGGUUUUCUCUCUUCUCUCUCCUCUCCCCCGACCUUUUUCUCUUCUUUCUGGGCGUUCUUCCUCUGCCAGCAGCGCCACCGUCCGGCCACCUCAAGCCGCUCUCGAGGUGUCCACGGCUUCGCCUCGACGUCGUCUAGCUACUGGACGUGACCACUUUCCCCGGAACGGCCUCAAAUCCGGCAAACCGGAGCUGCAAGGUUUGAGCCAAAAACAGUCAACGCCGGUUUUCUCCUAAUUCCGGCCACCAAAACUCACGAUCCUUAGCUCCCUGAACUCACCUCAACAUGCUGAUCAUCAUCCUAGAAGGAUCGCACCUGGAGUGACCGGAUUCACGUUCGUCGGAGCUCGGCCGGCUUUAAUUCGAAAACCACCUUCGAAUCCGAUUUUCUCGAGUUAUAGACCACCUUUUCUUGUGAUUCUUGGCCUGGUGAGUUCACCUUGAGAUUAUUAACAACUCUCAAGAAGGGAUCGAGGCCUGAGGUUGAAGUUUUUACGUCGGAAUUCAAGCUCGCCGGAUUCUGGAAAAUUUCCGACCACGAAGACUUUCGAUCAAGAUAUCUCGAGCUGUAGUGCAUCGUUUUGAUUGAUUCUUUUUCCAGUGGGUUCCCCUUGAUGUUGUUAACAACUCUCUAGAAGGCAUCGAGGCCUGAAAUUGAAGUUUUUACGUCGAUCGGAGCCCUCGCCGGAUUCUGCAAAAUUCUGCAAAUUUUCCGACCACCGAAGCUUUCGAUCGGUAUAUCUCGAGCUACAGACCAUAUUUUUCUGUGAUUCUUGAACCAAUGCGUUCGUCUUGAGUUUCUUAACAACUCUCUAGAAGGAAUCGAAGCCUGAAAUUGAAGUUUUGACGUCGAAAUCAAGCCUUGCCGGAUUCUGCAAAUUUCGCCGGAUUCUGGAAAUUUUCCGGCCACCUCGACUGUUCUAGGUUAUCGACGGAUUGAUUUGGUGGACGAUUCGGAUUGAUGUAUUUGGCUUUUUAGAAGACGCAGCUGGAUUAGAGCGGGAAAUCCUACAGGUCAGGAAGAUCAAGGCGGAGAUCGUGCGGGUUAGAGUUUUUGUUUCAGUUUACAGCUUUGUAAAUUGUGAGAUGUAUUAUUAAGAGGUGUGAAGUGUGGUUGUUGUGAGAAAAAAAUUCAGGACGUUUAUUCUAUUAAGUUGUAUAAUUCAUGUUUCGGAUUUUAAUUGUAUUUAAAAUUCGGGGC